RNAcentral lists this long non-coding RNA (11555 nucleotides) under Lactuca sativa (garden lettuce). RNAcentral describes it as "long non-coding RNA (LSAT_LNC007394)". The record is from RNAcentral. Lineage: Eukaryota; Viridiplantae; Streptophyta; Magnoliopsida; Asterales; Asteraceae.
ACUUCCAACUGUCCUUGAGCAACCAAUCUUUGGUAAACCUUAGAUUGUCCUCGACAAUUGUUUAAUCCUUUUAGUCAUAUCCAGUUCUAAACCUUUUCCCUUCUUAAUGCCCCAGGCAUUUGGAAAAUUUUAGAACGGAUGAAUAUAGCACAUGUAAUCGAUCCUAUAUCCGAAGCAUAUGGGACACGAUUCAUGAUGUCUCACAUAAAGACUAAACCAGUCUUUUGCUAUAAUAUUUCCAUUUCAAUUUGCCAAGUUCUCAUAAUUCAGAUUAUGAAAAGGGAUGUCGUAAUCAUAAUCGAAUUUUAGAACGCAAAUAAUGGACCCAUAUACAGAAUUUCCUUAUGUUGAGCCAUUCCAACAUGAAAUUCAUAUAUAUAUCCUUGACUAAAUACGAUUAAAACCUCAAUCUAAGCUUUUAGAUUUGAGAUGAAGUAUAAUUUCCUCUCCCUUAAUUAUAGCAAAACAACUUUUUCCUAAUUGAAACCUUUUGUUUUCUAUAAUUAACAUUGCUAACUUGCAACCCUUAUCAUAAUUAUCAUGCUCCCACUAACAUGAUGAUUAUUAGCAUAACACUUAUGCUCCCACUAGCUUUGACAUGUACUCAGAAAUUAGUUGGACUUCUAGAAAUCAAUACUUUAUUGACUUUCUUACCAAAGUUUAGAUUUCUGAUACUAGAUUGCUUUGACAAAACUUUAUCAAUAUCAUACACCUUAUCUUAGAUAGCUCACAGGUGUGUCUAAACAAUUUUCAGAACUAUGAAAAGGGAUGCCGUAAUCAUAGUCUUGAUUGUUUAGACAUUUGCCACUUCUCACAAGUCCAUGUUAGUGUGCCGGUUAACCACACAGCUCCACUAACGACUUUGAGAAUGCAAAUAUCACAAUUGCUAUCUACUUCAAAUCUACUUGGUGGAAGUGUUUCCUCACCAUCAUUUUCAUGAAUCGGAGAGAAACCUUAUGACCCUUAGAUUUAAUGGUGUAUGUGUUCUUAUCCAUGUGAAUUGUCAAAACCAUAGUCACAAGACAAGGAUAAUGACAAAUCCAAACUCAUAUAGACCGAACUCAAUCUUAAUUUCUUGCCAUCUAGUAACUCAAGGGCCUGGCAUUGCUUCCAAGUUGUUCUGCAACCAAUUGAGAACUCUAAGAACUCAUAUGCAUAGCCAACUUUAAUUGGAAUGGGCACAAAAUAUGUCAACACGAUAGGUUAUAAACCUCAAGUCGUAUGCUAGUGAGGAACUUCAGGUUUUAUUCUCGAUUAGUCUUGAGACUUUCAAGACCUUUAAGACUCCCACUGUCCUCUUGACAUAUAAGACUUUCUUGUCAAAUAUUCAAGAGAUAGUGUGGAUUCUAAUCAAGACAAACACUUCACACAAUUGGCCUUAGUUGGUCUUUGUUUUGUCCAAAACAUCACAACUUACCAAUUUCAAAUGUACAAGAGUAGAAAACUUUUACUCUUACAUUUGACUAGUAUUAAUAAACCUACUUUAAGAUGUGUCACUCAAGUUACAAUCUUGGAGUAUAACUCUAAGAAUUGUUUUUGGAACGAAGUAUGAAUCAUCUUCUUGAUUUAACCACUUCAACAAUUCAUAACUCCUCUUCUUAGCUAUCAGAAAGCACUUAGAGGAUGAAUUGUGAUAAGGUCUCAUAAUCUUUAAGAUGAUCAUAUAUCAUGAUACUAAAGUACUCUCCCAUCUUUUUAGAUUUGAGAAACUUUUAUCUUUCUGCCUAAAUUGAAUCUUCUCAUUCGUUCUGUCAUACAUUGGAACCUUUUUCCAAUGCUUCAGAAUUUUACUUAAGCCUAUAAGUAUAACCAUAUUUACUAAACUUAAGUAAAUAAUGAUGAAUAGUCUUAACAAACUUUUGUGGUGGACUUGAUCAGUGCACCAGAAUGUGUACUCGAUCCCUUAGUCCUUUACUUGACACACACACAUCCAUGUGAACAAGUAGUUAGUCUUAAUUUCUCCAAUGCUUGAAAGUUCUCAUUCAUCAUACUAUACUACUUGCAUGAUUCCAAGUUUGGGUCCAAUUGAAACUUGGGUGAUGAGGAUCUUUCCUUAUUUGAUAAAUUUAGACAUUACCACAGAUAAAAGAAUCAAAUUCAUAUUUCCACUCUUGCUCUUAAUGGAAUCUUUAUAAGCAACAAAAAUUUUCACAAAUGUCAUUGUAAGGAUAUUUUAAAAUAAAUAAAAUAAAAAUUUUCCUUUUAUUUUAAAAUAUUUGUGGAAAAACUAUCCUUACAAUCCAUAUGAAAACUUGUUGUUAUUUAUUCCUAAGCAAUAUCUCAUAAGAAGUAGCUCAAGAUUCCGAUCAUCAAACUAUGCGAUAGAAAUCCAUCUACGCGAUUAGAUUCAACAUAUUCUUUCUAUAAGUUUCUUCACUUUUCUUUGAUUCUUAAAACAUCACCAUGUGACCCAGUCACAUCAUGUAUCAAGAAUCUCAGAGUAGAAACUUAGCAAAGUUAGAUAGUGGACUUUACCUGAAGUAGAGUUAAACUUAUUGACUUUAACACCCUUAGGUAAAUUGGCAGCUUUGCAACCAAUGCCCCUUCCUUUGGCAAUUUAACAUAUGGACGCUUUGGUAAUGGAACAUGGGACUAUCACAGACUUAGCCUUUCUCUUUAUCAUUUGGUCAACCGUGUUGACUAUGGCCGGUCCCUUUCCAUUGGGAAGAGAGAGCUUUAUUAGAUAUCCAUUGUCAUUAUUGUCAAUGUCCAUAAAAUUUUAGGAAGUUGAUCUUAGCAAAUAGAUAAGAUCAUUAAGGAUCUUGUCAUAGUCUGUUUCAUAGGUGUCCCAAAGGAACUCACUAUGUGACUUAGAAAUUAGUUUAGCCACCAACUUUCUCAAGACUUUGACACCCGACUCUCCCGGCUUGUCAAUAUGCAACUACAUCUCCAAGAUGUGAUCACACCUAGACCUUGCAUUGCCAAUAGGGCUUGAGUGACCUUGAACUUGUGGGUUAGGGAGAAUAAUUAGAGGAGGUGAAAGAAGUAUGAUUUCCAUGGGACAUCAUCUUCAUUUAGGAAAGAUUGUUUCAAGAGAUUUGGGAAGAUCACAAAUUUCUGAACUAGACAUCUUUUGGGAGAUAUUCAAGAUAGUUGAUUUAGAGUCCUUAGUAUAACACCCAGUAUGAAAUAUUAAGGCUAGGACCCAACACAAUACUUUUAAAACUUGGAAGAGGGAUGUCGUAAUCCAAGCUAUAAAAUAUUUGAAGGUAGGUGAAUGACGAUUCACCAAUUUCCACCAAGAUAAACGAAAUGUAUUAUUAGGUUUUAAUUGGUUUUGAAACUCCUAGAUCUUUGAGAUUCAUUGAACUGUUCAAAGGCAUGUUUCAAUCUCGAGUGUGCCCUUCAGGUUUUGUGACUGGGAUGCCGAGGAUCACAAAACAAGGUGUGAAGUAACCAUGCAAAUCACUUGGUACCCUUAAUAAAUUACCCCUCAAUCGAUGUGCCGGUUAACCACACACGCUCCAUCGAUACUAUGAUAAAUAUUAAGUCACCCUUUACCUACCUUGUUAAGUCCAAGUUAGUGUGCCGGUUAACCACACACGCUCCACUAACGACUUAGACAAAGUGUAAAGUGUAAUUUCAUGGAUUAGCACCUUAUUCACAUUUUUCCUAAGUAACUAAGAUUGGGUAUUAUUAAGAGUUUAGUUACUUAGUAUUAUCAUUAAUACUUUUAAUGAAGGGAGAAUUCUAGUCCUGUCAAACCCGUUCGGCUAACGACCCUCCACCAGUCAAGCAAGCGGUGGGUGAGAGUGGACACCCAUUAAGUUGCCAUUUUAUAGGCAACAACCUUAUACCCACCUUAUAGACCGGCUUCGUGAAUGAGGCGUACUAGCGGUAAGACUGACUUUACUCUUAUACAUAUAUAUAUUAUUAACUUAUAAUAUUAUAAAGUAUAAGGGUUGAAUUUUAACUUUUAAAAUUCUAAGGGCUAACUUGGAAUUAAAGUAUUCAUAAGUGAAAACUUUACAAAUUCCAAAACUUGAGGGCAAGUUUUGAAACUAUUCAAAACUAAUUAAUUCCAUAACUUAUGUGUUUAAAGUAGUUUUAAUCCAAAAACUCUUCAAGUUCCAUAACUUGAGGACAAGUUAUGGAAGACUUUAAACUAAUAAAAGAAUUAACUUUUCUUUAUUUUAUAACUUAUGGAAUUAAUUAAGGUUACACUUUUUUUUUUUUUAUUUUAUUUUAUUAAAUGAAGAGACUCUUGGUCCUCCAUAACUUGAGGACAAGUUAUGGAGUCAUAAAACCAUUUAAUUAGAACUAGACUCUUCAUUUUUGUAACCUUUGCCAAUUUUUAUGAGUUUUAUGAUUCUUAAAUGUGACUUUUCAUAUAACUUGAGGACAAGUUACAAAAACACAUUUUAGAAUCAAUUCUUAGAUUAAUUUGGAUUAAAACCAACUAUCACAUAAUUUUAUUCAUUAAUCUAAAUUCACUCAUAAAACAAGGUAACACAAAAAACUUUUGGUGAUCCAUAACUUAUUCUUAAGUUAUGGAAUCCUUUAAAACAUUAACACCAAAUUUUGUAACUCCAAAAAAACUUUGAAUCAAUUUUUUUUUUAAAACCUUUUCAUAUCCAUAACUUAUGGAGGUUUCAAAAAAUAAAACUCUUUAGAUCAAACUUUUAAAACUAAUAAAAUAAUCAUAUUAUUUUAUCUUUUAUUAAAUUUGACCUAAUUCAACUCAUAAAGCAAAUUAUUCAAAUUUUACAAAUAAUUAGUUUUUCACAAGAACAAGUAAUUAUCUUAAAAUUUGACAAACUUCAUGUUUUUUUUUUUUUUUUUUUUCAACUUUGAAAAUAAAAUAUUUGCAUCAAUAUAACAGAAAACAACCCGUGGCUCUGAUACCACUGUUGGGUUUUGAGCAUUCUAACACUCCUAAGUGUACAUGCAACCCUAAAUACCUUGGAUCUAUGUUUUCUCUAUUAUACAUGCAAAUAUGAACUUUCCAAGGUAUUUAUCCUAACUAGCAUAAUAACAUUGAUUCAUAUGAAUAUAUCAAGUUAGAAUUACAUACCUCUUUGAUGUAGAUUGUCUUCAUGAAGUGUGAGUGCCUAGUGCCCCAAGUGUGACACCUCAAAUGGUUCACACAACACUAAAUACACUUGGAAUAGAUUAGAGAGAAAUCCACACUUCAUGAAAAUCGGCUAGCCCUUUCUAUCACUCAUAGUGGCCGAUUUUGUCAACAAUAAGAUGCUUAUAUAGUUAGUGACAAUUAGGGUAAAUCCUAAUUGUCAUGGCUUUCCAUUUCCUUGGAUCCAUGGGUUCAAAUAUACCAUGGAGCAUCUUAUAGGUUUUAGCCCAACUUGAUAAUCCAUGGAGUCUUAGCCCACUAUAAAAGUAUGGAUGAUUUACACAAUCAACCCAUAUAUUUAGUUAGUCUUCUUUUGAUCACUUAAUUAAUCCUAGAUUAAUUCUUGAUCAAUACUAAUUAAAUAAUCUUAUUAAUAUAUUAGAACUUAUAAUAUAUUAACAAACCUUAAGUGUUAUUUCUCUCAUUUUAGUCUAUCCAAAUGCAUGAUGCCAUGAACCCAAAUGGACCAUGCUGAGUCGGGUCAAGUCUUACCAAUUAUAGUUAUGGACUUAGAAAUUAAUCCAACAGUAAUGAUACUUUAUGUUACGAUCCCCGACAUCUCUCUAUGAUCGAUCGAUAUAUGCAAGUCGUAUGUAAUUUGGUAUUGAUGAAGCCGUCGAGUGAGUGGAUCUACCCUAUCCCUACUACUAGACAUGGGACGGGAAUUAGGACGAAAUUAUUCACUUUAAGUCCAUAGUAUUAAACUUAACCCUAAUGUAUACACCAAAUCAUCAUAGCUUACCUAUAAUGAUCCUAAGGUCAUAUAUACGUGUUUUGGCUUGAUUGAACGAGAGAGUAUAUUUUUUUACUACCUUUUGAAAGAAGGUAAUUUUAGUAAACAUACCAAAAUCAUACAACAUACGUUACAUAGCUAGUCAUGUUUUUGAAACGAUCCUAAAAGUCCUAAUAAGGUUCCUUGUUGCUUCUGCUGGUUCGGUUGUCACACUCCUCCUGCUCCUUCGUCAUUCCUCUCAGUUGGACAGUCCCUUUUCAAGUGUCUCGUUUCACCGCAUUGGUAGCAUGCUGAGCUUACAUCGGUGUUGGUGAUUGAGGUGAUGUGUCGGGUCCGGGUUCUGCGGGAGCAGGAAGUGUGUCCAUUCUUGUUGCGGUUUUAUAGUGCAACACCUAGCAAACCCCAUCGUGGUGGUAGCUACACUUGUUACACUUUGGAAGUUUUCCAAUAUAUUGUCUGGCUGGUGCUUGAGUGACAGGUGUUGUGGCAAAUGCCGAGGCAUGCCCCGUGAUCACUGUUGUAAUUGUAGGGGCAACCAUGAAUUGUUGUCUUUUAGCGAGUUUUUGAGUUAGAGUGCGCUUCUUUUUGUCCCAAAACUUUUGUUUCUUGCUCUUUGGCUUGUGAUCUGAGGCGUCUUCGUUGGUAGACACCCGCUGGUGCCCUCGAUUGUUAUUGCGGUUACUAUUGUCGGCACUGCCUCCUACUUCGCUGGCGUUGUUAGCAUUGAGUUGUGCCAGACGGCUGACNNNNNNNNNNNNNNNNNNNNNNNNNNNNNNNNNNNNNNNNNNNNNNNNNNNNNNNNNNNNNNNNNNNNNNNNNNNNNNNNNNNNNNNNNNNNNNNNNNNNNNNNNNNNNNNNNNNNNNNNNNNNNNNNNNNNNNNNNNNNNNNNNNNNNNNNNNNNNNNNNNNNNNNNNNNNNNNNNNNNNNNNNNNNNNNNNNNNNNNNNNNNNNNNNNNNNNNNNNNNNNNNNNNNNNNNNNNNNNNNNNNNAUAUAUAUAUGUUUUGCCUUUUGUUAUGCUAUUCCCAAUGUUUCUGCCAAACAUUCCUGAGAUGGAGUUAUGGUAGUAGGUAGAAGUAGGUUUCAUAUGACUGUUAAGUUUGUACAUCUUGGUACUAUUCUUGUCCAUUCACGCUUAAGUACUGAGUUUUGAUGGGAUCUGGUGCAUUAGUGCUGGUAUGAUCACACCCUAUAGGUCCACAAAGAAGGUACCUUUCAACCAUGAUGUUUAUAAGAUGAAACGAUAAUGAUUCUUUAGUAAAGGCUUAUAUGUCAUGAGUUAUUUAACUAUGUUUUCUUAGUUCUGAGUGCAUCAAGAUCCGACUUUUAUAGUAUUCUGAAAACAAUUUAUAACGGAGGUCUAUGAAAAACAGACUCAUGAAUUAGUAGUAGUUACCUCCUUAUGAACAUUCAUGAAAUGAAUAAGUUGUUACUAUUUUAUAUGAAGGACAAGAUAAUCCCAACGCAUAGUGUGAGCAGUGCAAUUACUAGCUCACUAGGUUGUAUUAGUUUAUCAGUUAUUAGUGUGACACAUAUAGUGCUCGGUCUCUUUGCGUAUCUAAGAAAUUGGUUUAUCUAUUUUAUGCUCAUGAUAUGAUUACCCUAAGUUUGGCUGUAGAGAUUUGUUGCCUUCGGGUAUUCCCAAGGUGUUCUUGUCCGCUAUAGAUGUGUUAAAUCUUUGAUACAUCCUGCUUCGGACUUUGUUACUGUUCUCCAUUAUCUUGCAAUUGAGGGUUGGACCCCGAAUAUCCGAGCGAGUUUCUUAUGUAUGGUUAUGCUAUGGCAAGGCUCAGUAACAUUUACUCCGAUGUCUUACUCUAUGACCGAUCCCUUCCGAGAAUCCUCUUCAUGAAUCUCUUCUCGUUCUUCAUCGACUCCUCUAGUGGUUGUUGUGGUGGAGGGGCUAUGCCUAUCUUUGUUGUUUUUUUUGCGAGAAUGGGAGUGGCUAAAGUAUCUAUGGGAUUAACUAAAACAAAUUUUAUCCUUUGGGUGACCCCUACUGAGUCUUCCCAUAAUUAAUCAGUGUAUACAAGUUGUAUAUAUCUUAAGGUUAAACAGGCUUCUGAAUGAGUGAUCCUACUCUAAGACCACAUCCAAACAAGGAAAAGGAGGUAGAGUGAAAAUCACCCAUUUCUAAGUCUAUACAACCAGACCAAGAGGGCUUUGAUUUGUUUUCACUACAACCAGACCAACCAUAAAAUGGCUGAAUGUCCGAGAUUGUCUGGGGGAGCAUUGGUGGCGCCUGUGUUAGCCACCUUGAGGACAACCGAUGUCCACCAGGGAAAUGCGAAGACUCCUGCGGUGAAGAGCAGAGCAUUUCAGUUGACCCCGAUGAGGCCUGAUCUGCGCCGGAUGUUGUUACUGGGACCUUUUGGUCAAUGGAUUGCCAGUUCAUGUUUUAUUCGAUUCGGUGGCUACCUGAUUUUUGUAUCUCUUGCGCUAAAUAAGAAGUUUUGAGACAUAUCAGGGACUUAGGACUCCCAUCUGGAGUUGGAGAUCGUGGAUGACCGUACUAUUAUCAACAAUAAAGGUCUAAAGGCUCCUGAAUAAUCAGGACUACUCUGAGAUCUCCGAUGAAGUUCUUCAACCAAACUGCCCCCUUUGAUGCUUCAUUGUCUGCGAUGUACUCUGAUUCACAAGUAGAAUAAACUAUCGUAUCCUGUUUGGAACUCUUCCAAGUUACUGCUCCACCAUUUAACAUAAACUGUUGGGUUUUGAGCAUUCUAACACUCGUAAGUGUACAUGCAACCCUACAUACCUUGGAUCUAUGUUUUCUCUAUUAUACAUGCAAAUAUGAACUUUCCAAGGUAUUCAUCCUAACUAGCAUAAUAACAUUGAUUCAUAUGAAUAUCUCAAGUUAGAAUUACAUACCUAUUUGAUGUAGAAUGUCUUCAUGAAGCUUGAGUGCCUAGUGACCCAAGUGUGACACCUCAAAUGGUUCACACAACACCAAAUACACUUGGAAUAACUUGAGAGAAUAUACACACUUCAUGAAAAUCAGCUAGCCUUUUCACAUAUACUCUAGUGGCCGAUUUUGUCAACAAUAAGAUGCUUAUAUAGUUAGUGACAAUUAUGGUAAACCCUAAUUGUCAUGGCUUUCCAUUUCCUUGAAUCCACGAGUUCAAAUAUACCACGGAGCAUCCAUGGAGCAUCUUAUGGGUUUUAGCCUAACUCGACAAUUCAUGGAGUGUUAGCCCACGAUAUAAGUAUGGAUGAUUUACACAAUCAACCCAUAUAUUUAAUUAGUCUUCCAUUGAUCACUUAAUUAAUUCUAGAUUAAUUCUUGAUCAAUACUAAUUAAAUAAUCUUAUUAAUAUAUUAGAACUCAUAAUAUAUUAACAAACCUUAAGUGUUAUUUCUCUCAUUUUAGUCUAUCCAAAUGCGUGAUGCCAUGCAACCCAAAUGGACCAUGCCGGGUCGGGUCAAGUCUUACCAAUUACAGUUAUGGACUUAGACAUUAAUCCAACAGUCUCCCACUUGGAUAAGUGUAAAACUAUUAUUGCAUAUGACUUCAAGAACCGACUGGCAAUCGUAGCUCUCAAAAGCUUCCGUCGAACUCGACCUUGCCGAUGAUCUCUGACCUUUGUCAAUGACUUGUCCAUUAGAUAAGGGAUCAUAUAUUCCUCCAUUCUAGACAUCAUAUGGACUGAGAUAUGGAUUAUAAUCAUUCUCUCUGUCCAUCUGUUGUUUCCCAAUUUCCGAUUCAUGAUGACUGACUGAUUGAAAAAAUCAAAUCAGUCCUGGCUUGGCCAAGCUCUCACAUGUAUCAUCAUUAAAUCAUCGAGGGGCCCACAUAUAUCGCGUUUAUCCCGAAGGCCUGUUGACACAAUCCCAUUUCUUUCUCCCUUUCUUUCCGUUGGUCAACAACCAACAAAAGAAAAGGAAUGGAUAAAAUUCGACUCAUAUGGCUUGUUCUACUAUUUGUUGAAUCAUACACAAAGGCACAUUUUAUAACAUCGAGUUACCAAUGCGUUUUCGUGCAAUCAAUGUACAACCUACUCAUAGUAACAACUCAUAUCUCUAGGUUUGAACAAUAUAAGAUAUUAUCGUCUCAUGAUCCCUUGUGAUAAAAUCCAUGAAGUGAUUCCAAUGAGCACGGGUUGAAUCCAAUACUCAGAACUUAUGAGCACUCCUGAGUGUUGUAGCACCACCUUGUCCAACAUCUUAGACCUCUACAAGCCCAGCCCAUGACAGUCUUGAUUCAUAUCUACUUCCAACAUAUGACCGACUGUGGAUGGUUUGAAUAACUUAGUCAUUCAGGAAGAAUGACCUAGUUAUUCUAGAAGUCAAAACAUGCAAAAUGAAACACAAGAAUAAUUGAAUCCAAUAUGGUCUCAGAACUUAUGAAUAUAAAUAAAACACCUUUUAUUUAUCACCAUAUGAUUACACAUUAUUCAUUAUAUACUGUUUCAGCUAUCAAAUUUAUUCUUGAAUUAAAACACUAGUUGUCCCAUGCUCCGAGCAUGUACGCUAUAUUUUUCUAAACAUUAGCUUUGCCAUACACCAAGUAUGCACUCUAUGUUUGUCUAUACAUUAGUUAUGCCAUACUUCAAGUAUGCAUACCAAGUUUGUCUAUGAUCUUUACCUUGUGAAAUAGAUCAAAUGAAUAUAACUCCAAUGAUUCUCAUUUCACAGCCCCAAGUCCUUGCGGCAAUGCAGGAAUUCCAAACUCAUGCCUUUUACCGAAAUCUGUUUGAUUCUAAACUUAUAUGCAUUGGUACUCUUGUAACGAUUAUGCACAAAGUCACAAAGACUUGUCAACAACAUUACUGAGUAUUCCAAUGUAAAUCAACUCCAUGGAACCGAAGUCUCAUAUUCAAUGUUCAUUUCCUUUGAACAUUCUUAUUGCAUUAAGUUUCCAAUAUUACACAGAUAACUUCCACUUAUGGAGACAACUCCAUAUUCCCAUUUUGAGUACCCCUUCUGAACAAGAAUUGCCUAUUUUCAGAUUAGGUCAAUAUGGUCCUUCCAAAGUUAAUACUAUACUUCCAACUAUUCUUGAGCAACCAAUCCUUGGUAAAACCUUAGAUUGUCCUUGACAAUUGCUUAAUCGUUUUAUUCAUAUCCAGUUCUAGACCUUUUCCCUUCUUAAUGCCCCAGGAACUUGGAAAAUUUUAGAAAGGACGAAUAAAGCACAUGUAAUCGAUCCUAUAUCCGAAGCAUAUGGGACACGAUUCAUGAUGUCUCACAUAAAGACUAAGCCAGUCUUUUGCUAUAAUAUUUCCAUUUCAAUUUGCAAAGUUCUCAUAAUUCAGAUUAUGAAAAGGGAUGUCGUAAUCAUAAUCGAAUUUUAGAACGCAAAUAAUGGACCCAUAUAUAGAUUUUUCUUAUGUUGAACCAUUCCAACAUAUCAUUCAUAUAUAUACUUGACUAAAUUUGAUUAAAAUCUCACAAUGUAAGCUUAUAGAUUUGAGAUGAAGUAUAAUUUCCUCUCCCUUAAUUAUAGCAAAACAACAUUUUCACAAUUGAAACCUUUUGUUUCUAUAAUUAACAUUGCUAACUUGCAACCUUUAUCAUAAUUAACAUUCUCUCCCAAUAACAUGAUGAUUAUUAGCAUAACACUUAUGCUCCCACUAGCUUUGACAUGUACUCAUAAUUAUCAUACUUUAUUAACUUUCUUAGCAAAGUUUAGAUUUCUGAUUUUAGAUUGCUUUGAUAACACUUUAUUAAUAUGACACACAUUAUCUUAGAUAACUCACAGGUGUGUCUAAACAAUUUUAAGAACUAUGAAAAAGGAUGCCGUAAUCAUAGU